RNAcentral lists this long non-coding RNA (2511 nucleotides) under Elaeis guineensis (African oil palm). RNAcentral's name for it is "long non-coding RNA (EGUI_LNC029175)". The record is from RNAcentral. Lineage: Eukaryota; Viridiplantae; Streptophyta; Magnoliopsida; Arecales; Arecaceae.
AUGAUGGUGCAUCUCAUUCCAUGGAGAAACUGGGAUAGUGCCGUCUCAUAAGAUUCAAAACCUUAUCUAAAACUACCAUGAUUAUAUAAAAAAGGUAUGGUCCCAGCAAUCUGGGGUCUUAGGAGGGGCAAACUGAGGACAAACCUAACCUUUGGCAUUCUUUUUGCACCAACGUGGCUGCCCCAGGACUUGAACUAGCUCAAUUGCUUAUAGCCCAAACCUUUUACCAUUCUACCAAGCAAUGACUCCUAAAAAAAUUGACUGAUAUGAUCAUAAAGCUACCAUUUAUUAUAUCAGUUACAUUUUUUAUUUUUAUUUUUUAUAUCAAUAAAUUGUCUAGUUAGUAAAAGAAUUUCUGUUAGAGAUUGUAAGAUGUUACACCCACAAGUCAAGGAAUCGAUCAAGCUCAAUCAAGUAGAGGCUAUCAGGCUGCAAAGGAGGAAAUCAAUUCAGUCAAUCAAGGGCAGAAGGAAAGUGGACUUAACCAAAUAAGAAAGAAUAAUAUCAUGGGAUCGCAAUCACCUAUAUUAAGGGAUCACAAUCACCUAAAAGAAGGAAAGUGGACUCAACCAAAUAAGGAAGAACAAUAUCAUGGGAUCGCAAUCACCUAAAAUUCCGACGACUGGAGAUUAUAAAUAGAACUAGAAUGUGAAGGACAGAGAACCAAGACUUUAUCAAAUAGCUUUGUUCGGCCUUUAGGCUUGGUCCGAAGAUUUGUCUCCUGGUGUUCUUGUCAUUCUAUUUUUUGAAACCAUAGUUGUACUGUUUCUUAUUGAUUCUAUAAAAGAUUCCGUUCGUCCUCCAACAAAUUAGUUCGACACUGUCGGCCUUCAUUUUUUUCCUGUUCAUGCCACGAACCCAAAUGGAGUCCAAGGUUGAAUCGUUGGAGAGAAUGGUCGCAGCACUCAAGGCGAAAUUGGAGAAUCAACACACUGAAAUCUGCAAGACAAUGGACAAAAAAUUCGAUGAGCAUUUUGCAUGCUUAGACGCCACAUGGCCAGCCUUGCUGCCUCUGUUAAAAGCAAGGCAAUUGUUGCAGAUGAACCAGACCCAGUAUCUCCCCUCUCGGUCCAUACUCCCACUGCACCACCGAAGGUAACUGUCUCUAAUUCCUCUGGUUUCUUUUCUGAUGCGACUUCUCUGCCUCAAAAAAUUGAAAUUCCCACCUUCGACGGAUCGGACCCAAUCGGCUAGAUCGCAAGGGCAGAAAUUUUUUUUGAGGUGAAUCAGACAAAAGAAAAUCAGAAAGUCACCCUCGCCAUGAUAAGCAUGGAGGGCCACGCCCUUCACUGGUUUCGCUGGCUCUGGCAAAGAAAACCAUAGUUGACAUGGAGAAUGUUAAUCGUCGAGCUUAUCUAGCGAUACGACAGAAGACACAUGGAUAAUCCCUUCGAGUGACUGGCGGCACUUCGACAAACCUCCACAGUCGAGAUGUACAUCUUUGCAUUCAUUGAAUUGGUAACCCAAGUCCUUGAUUUAAAUAAGCAAUAUUGUCUGGAUUUCUUUUUGAAUGGAUUGACAUAGGCUAUUCGAGUGAGGCUCCGCACCCACAAUCCAAGAGAUCUCGAUUAGGCUAUGGAGCUGGGCCGCUGUCUCAAGACGGAAUUGCGAUUUGCCGAUGGAAGCUCUGACAGUCGCCAACCGCCAGCAAAGUCGGGUGUUAGCUUCGCGCUGGUCUUGCAUUGGUCGCCCACCUCAUCUGCGACCUCGAUUUGGUCAUCACUCUCAGCACCGCGCGCUACCCAGUCCAACAGUACCUCGAGGCCAUCAACUCGAGCCGCAGAUCGUGAGCUACCGGCGGCAGACUGAAGCGACCACAAAUCUCAGCUUGCUCCGCCUCCUCGGCACUGAGGCACUAGGCGACUCAGCAACUAAGAAUACAUCGAGCUUUGCCACAAGAGUCUCUGCUUUCAUUGUCAUUAGCCCUACUCGCCCCUGCAUGAGUGCCCAAACCGAGAGCUCCGGACUUUAAUUGCAGCAGCAAAUAGAGACAGCAUUAGCUUGGCUGAUUUUAAGGCACUGGAAGCCAAGGAUGGGGAACCGACGGCCACGGCUCCACAAGAGAUCCAGCUUGGACGAAUCGAUUUGGAUGGACAGAGAUGAUUUCCAUUUCCAGUUCCCAGACUUCAGCCUUGAGGACAAGGCGAAUUUUCAUCCAGCGGGUAUAAUUGUUACACCCACAAGUCAGGGAAUCAAUCAAGUUCAAUCAAAUAGAGGCCAUUAGGCUGCAAAUGAGGAAAUCAAUUCAGUCAAUCAAGGGCAGCAGAUAUUCAUGGUGUAUACCCGCAGAAGGAAAGUGGACUCAACCAAAUAAGGAAGAACAAUAUCAUGGGAUCGCAAUCACCUAUAUUAAGAGACCACAAUCACCUAAAAGAAGAAAAGUGGACUCAACCAAAUAAGGAAGAGCAAUAUCAUGGGAUCGCAAUCAUCUAUAUUAAGGGAUCACAAUCACCUAAAAUUCCGAUGACUGGAAACUAUAAAUAGAACCAGAAUGUGAAGGAUAGAGAACCC